UCGGAGUGAAGCGGGGAGUAAAAUAAAAAAACAGAGCCUGUCCGACAUCAGACAGACCCUACAACACACAGCAGUGCUUCCCUUCGCAGAUCCUGAAUGUUAUCUCCGUGAAGCAGGUUUAUUUAAUUAUAACAGCCCACCCUCAAAAAGAUAUGUUUUAGCAUCAUUGAUUCCA
Molecule: unclassified non-coding RNA, 175 nt
Filed under: Enterobacter ludwigii
Lineage: Bacteria; Pseudomonadati; Pseudomonadota; Gammaproteobacteria; Enterobacterales; Enterobacteriaceae
Description: IS061 RNA
Source: RNAcentral